AUGGAAUUUUGUGUUUGACGGAUCGAAGAUGUUGAGUGAUAAAUCUGGUUUUGAUGUCAUAUUUCUUUUGAACUUUUGAUAUGUGGUCAGUGAUGUUUUAAAUGAAAGGAAAGGACAACAGUGGCAAGUGUGGGAUUGCAUUCAGCCGCAUUGCUAUUGGAAGAGAGAAGAGCAGAGUUAACGUGUGUUAAUUCUGGAUUCAAUGACUCGGGCUGAGAUAGUUUUCCGGCUCUGUAAACAAGAGAUAGUUGACAACCGAUGAUUUUUGGGCAGGAUGGCGAUGUGACAAUGCAAUGUUUCUAAUGUAGGUGCAGAGUAAAAUGCGAGCUAGUUUCAGUUAAACUCUGAAGAAGAAGACAGUGAAAUGAUAGCAAUUUCGAUUCGACAACAACCGAAAUAGAAGGAAUCCCAAAGUUUUGUAAAUAUUAUUACUAUUUUAAAACUUUCGUUUCCCGACGGUGACGCAACAAAGCGUGGAAACAUCGAUAUAAAAAAAAUGGUGAUUCGUGGAUUUCUUCAAACAUACAAAACUUUUGUUGAACA
Molecule: long non-coding RNA, 543 nt
Organism: Cylas formicarius (sweet potato weevil)
Lineage: Eukaryota; Metazoa; Arthropoda; Insecta; Coleoptera; Brentidae
Exons: 3
Source: RefSeq, a predicted model, not a curated record